This is a non-coding RNA of Lolium perenne, 3895 nucleotides long. Lineage: Eukaryota; Viridiplantae; Streptophyta; Magnoliopsida; Poales; Poaceae. The record is from RefSeq and is a predicted model, not a curated record.
UAUUACGACAUUCAGUUUGUCCAUAAAGAUUUUAUUACAACAUCCAUCAAGCAUUCUAAAACCAUGAGGGAGGAUGCACCAUUUCUCCUUAUUUUGAUACGUGGACACUUUUCAAUCACCUUGAUGCUUCAGUAGUAAUCUGACAAUGUCUUCGGUAGCACCGUAGCGGUCUGCACUUUCUUGACAAAAUUGAUUUUUAUUAACGGGGACAGUUGAUGAUGGCAUCGUACCACUUGAACAUUGUUAAAUCCUUACAGAUCUACAAAUAAUAAUUCUUCUACUGAUUUCCUGAUUGUACUUCUUUCCUACGAAUUCUAGAAGAUUGUUGCAAAUUGGUUGUGAAAGCUAAACUGCUAGGUUGCUCUCAUCCUAUAUUUGAACUACUAAAACUGAAUUUCCCUCAUUGGUUUAUACUGAUUUUUUAGUAAAUAGGAGCAAAUUCUAUAACUUGAAUGCAAAUAUCAAUGUUCAGCCAAUAAUCUAGAGUUUGCUGUAUCAUUUGAUUUUCAAAGUUAACUUUUUGACUUAUAUAGCAGAGAUUGGGACGACAACGAUGAUCAACCCAACUCUGCUUAAGUCUAGCCCUUAAAUCUGCUUGGAAAGAAUAUAUAUGUGCUCCCUUUUAUUAGUCAUUAAUUAUAUGGAGUUGUCAGCUGGUGCUCCUAAUAUAUUAAGAGAGGAGCAAUUUUAGUGCCCCCUUGUCAAAUGAGUAGAUUCGUAUUCAUGUUUACCUUUGCCAGUUUCCAGCUUCAGUAUAUUUGUUCCUACAGCCAAGUAAGAUGCUUUGUUUAUCCCUUAAAUAGUUUUGUAGAGAAUAUAUGUGUCAACUAUUAGUGCUGCUAAUUAAGUAAAUUUGUAUUUAUGCUUACCUUCGGCAGAUUCAGUAUAUUUGUUUCUGCAGCCAAGGAAGAUGAUUUGUUUUAGGAUGUUUUACCAUUCUUCUCGCUUAGUAGUUUAUUGUGGUUCUCUGUACUAUUAAGAGAAUUGUAGUGACGUGCUUAUGAUAUGAUAAGAUUAGUAUUUAUGUUUAUCUUUGGCAGAUCCAAUAUUUAUGUUGAUUUUUUCAUGUUUUACGGACAUGAGAGCUUCUUGGCCAAAGUAUUCAGUCUGGAGCGCAUGUUGCGUCAGGAUUUGAGCUGGGUUCGUGUGCAGCUAUAAGAGUAAAGUAGAACCAAUAUUUUAUUCGUGCUACUCUCGUUGACGUUAGCUUGGUGGUUUUCUAUGUCCCAUUUGGUGUUAGCUUUCUUAAUGCCCUAAUAUUUCCAUAGAUCAAAGCUAGGACUAAAAUUGUCGUUUGCCCUAUGUUACUGCCCUGCGCUAUUGCUUCUAGGAGAUUUGUAUCUUCUCUAAUGCCAUGUUUCUGCAGUUCCGUCUGCAUUUAAGCCCCUCCACUGAUCCAUGGUAAUCCUACAGUAAAUCUGCAUCGCUUCUUUUGCCUCUGCAACAUACAACUAUCCAAGUGAUCUUAAGAAGCUUUUUGGGUUUCUCUACUUAUAUUCAACAACUCUAAGAUAAUAAGAAGCUCGUUUAUAGAUCGGCGCCCAACCAAUUUAAGACAACAAAAAUAAAUGUUUGCAUAUAGCGUUAGACCAACUUCCAAAAAUAAAGAUUUCAAAAAAAGCAAAACUUUCCAUAGAGAUUAUAUGGUGGGGUAUGCAAGCCCAUGCUGUGCGAUGACUCAGGUUGGAUGUGAAGUAGAGAAGAGGGAGAUUCAAGGAGAGGCGUAUUUAGGAUCAAGUGGAGCAGAGAUUCUGACCUUGUCACUGUUUUCAAGAUCGUAGCUUGAGAAUGGGAUUAAAUAGUAGCUGUAAGUAACCAUUUUUUUCCGAUAGAUCUGUAGGAUGAUAUAUCGCUCUCUUUCUCUCUCUUUGGUAUGGUGAAUAAUUAAAGGUAAAUUUUGAUAAUUUUGUGCACAGUGUAUAUCCUUAGUUAGUCAUAUAUGGUUCAGAUGUGCACCAAGGUCAUUUCCCUUUCCCACUACAUAAUUGCCGUAGGUGUUCUGCUAAUUAUACCAAUAGCUGGAGACAAUAAUUGAGGGUUAGUAUACUUUGUAUGCCUUUUAUCAGGAAGAAAUCAUGGCAUAACUUGGACUUAAUAUGCAUACUGAAAAUCACUAUAUCAUCUCUUUUUACUGAUAUGUUCCAUAUAGUGUUCCUAGAUUCCGUGCUGCCUGCUCAAGAAAUUAGUCGCAUUCUUAUUCUGUGUUUUUAUUUUUGCAGCAUCAAGUUAUGCUCCCUUGAUAUCAAACCAAAGUACACAUGUGAAUGGUUUUCACCUACAAUUAAAGUAUUAUAGUUGCUUAUCGAAUGUACACAACACACCAUAAUGUUGUUGCUAGAUAUCACCUAAAGUUGUAGAUCAUGGUUUGUUGUUCAACCUCCAUGUAUAUGCUUGGAUUUUCCAUUAAGCUUGGUGAAGUAUAUUAUGUUAGUGGACGAAUAGAAUACCAUGGAUGUCUUUGCUAUUUUGGAGGCAAUUCUUUUUGUGGGUUCACCUGUUGUGAUUAUCUAUAUGAGACAUGCAUAGUAUUUUGGUAGAUCCAAUUGUUUCAGAAAAAGGAUAUUUUGGCAGUAUUUCUUCAGCUCCAUUGAAUAGAAUUGCCUUUGUGGAGCGCAUCUUGGAAGAGGUGGAGGCGUGAGGAUCGAGCCGGAUGGGGUGGCCGCUGUGGCGCGCGGGCGAAGGAGGAGCUCAAGGAGCACAUCCCAGAAGAGAGCGUCGGCGGUGGCACGCCAAUCGACUCCAUCGCAUCCUGGGCCUUGAGAUCUUCUCCGGCGGUGGGGAUAGGAACUGCUUGCAGCCAUCGUCAAGGAAGCUGCACAAUAUGAUGGUGGUGGAUCCCACAAGACCAGGGGAGUUUCCAUGGCAAGAAACAUGGUCAAUGACUCCAGGGUGACGUGGAGCUCCAGGCCAAGGUAACGAGCAAAUUCUUCUUCGAGGUUGAGAUCGGUGGGGAGCGCGUGGGCAAGGUGGUCAUCGGGCUCUUCGGCGAGGUCGUCCCAAAGACGGUUGACAACUUCCAUGCCCUGUGCACUGGAGAAAAAGGGUAUGUAUACAAGGGCUGCUUCUUCCACCAAAUCAUCAAAGGAUUUCAUGAUUCAGGGUGGGGAUUUUGCAGGAAAACAAUGUUUGAAGAGCAUUAGUGGCCUCUGUUCAACCUUUUCUCUUCAUCUAUUCGGCAGCUGUUGUUGGUGGACAACGGUGGCCUCAGGUGGUGCAUGGUGGGUCCUGUCAAGUCACCGAUACGAUUUCUCUCAUGCAGGUGACCCGCGGCUGGGCAACACCGUGGCCAUUGAGCCGAAGGUGGCUGAGCGCCAGAGCUCCCAGCUUAGGAAGACGACGCGACGGGAUGACGCAGCACCACGGCCUUCAGCACCCUCGCCGUUAGCAGCUCGCCCCUGUCAUAAGUCCUCUCGCGACCUGUUGGUUCUUCUGCUCCAGGAUGAGAUGGUCAUCUUGCUAGGUUUCAGAGCCCUGUGGGCCUCUUCGCCGCUCGUCCUCGUCACCCUCUCUGUACCAACAUCUCGCUUCCUUCUUGCUUCCAGUCAGGAUGGGGGCUUCUAUUUAGGAGGCGCUCAUGGUACCAGGUCUCCAUAGACCUGGCCAUUUCAGAAUGGGAACAAGUUCCUACUGCUAUUGCUGCCAUUGACUUCCACCUGUACCUAAGGGGCAAAACUGAAGAUCAAAUUAAGGCCGGUCAAUGAGGAUAAACCUUUUAUUCUUCGUGAUGUAAUAUUUUGAACUAUUUGUUUUGUGAUACUCACUCAUAUGUACUACAUGGAUUUAUUGAACCAUCAUUAGAAAAAUCCUCCUAGAAAGUUGUUAUGUGUUCUUAUUAUACUGUUUCCGUCAAGAAAGUUGAUACUCGACUAAUAUGUGACCAAAAUAACUCCAACAA